This 343-nucleotide unclassified non-coding RNA is filed under the name soil metagenome. RNAcentral's name for it is "partial contains 5.8S ribosomal RNA, internal transcribed spacer 2, and large subunit ribosomal RNA". The stretch from base 3 to 120 matches the Rfam family "5.8S ribosomal RNA", at positions 37 to 154 of the family's 154-position model. The record is from RNAcentral.
GGUGAAGAACGUAGCGAAAUGCGAUAAGUAAUGUGAAUUGCAGAAUUCAGUGAAUCAUCGAAUCUUUGAACGCACAUUGCGCCCGCCAGCAUUCUGGCGGGCAUGCCUGUUCGAGCGUCAUUUCAACCCUCGCGCCCCCCCGGGGGCCUCGGUGUUGGGGGACGGCACACCAGCCGCCCCCGAAAUGCAGUGGCGACCCCGCCGCAGCCUCCCCUGCGUAGUAGCACACACCUCGCACCGGAGCGCGGAGGCGGUCACGCCGUAAAACGCCCAACUUUCUUAGAGUUGACCUCGGAUCAGGUAGGAAUACCCGCUGAACUUAAGCAUAUCAAUAAGCGGAGGA